GAAAUAAAAACACGUCCACGGAUGCGGGCAGCCCCAGGUGGUCGCACAUCACUUGGAAAGCUCGAACAAACGCCCAGCUGUUGGGGUGAAGCUGGGCGGCGGCAAUGUUGAGCUCGGUAAGGAGUUCCCUCUCGAAUCGGGUGAAGGGAAACUUCAGUUUCACCUUCUUGAAUAGUGUUGUGUAGACGAAGCAGAAGGGCCCG
Molecule: long non-coding RNA, 203 nt
Filed under: Phaseolus vulgaris (common bean)
Lineage: Eukaryota; Viridiplantae; Streptophyta; Magnoliopsida; Fabales; Fabaceae
Description: long non-coding RNA (PVUL_LNC001679)
Source: RNAcentral